This is a non-coding RNA of Tetranychus urticae (two-spotted spider mite), 1642 nucleotides long. The record is from RefSeq and is a predicted model, not a curated record. Lineage: Eukaryota; Metazoa; Arthropoda; Arachnida; Trombidiformes; Tetranychidae.
UAAGCUUUACGGUUAUUUUAUGUUAAAUGUAUACUAAUUGUUAACUAAUUAUGCUUCCAUUGUUAAUCAUCUUUUAUGUUCAUUAAUAGUUCCUGUGUUAAGUGUGGUUUGGAAAAGGUCUGUUCUGCUAUUGUUUGUUCAUAGUGUUCAAUGGAAGGUUUCUAGCGUAACUGUAAUGGCUUUUGUUAUUUCUCAUAGUUUUAUCGAAUGGAUUUCACAUUCUGGACUUUGAGGACUUUAUUUUGAAAUUGUUCAUGGUUCUCACAAGCAUGUUGUAGUUGAAAGUCACCAAGAACAGCUCAUCAUGAAGGAAACAAGAAAAAUGUCUAACUCAAUGAAAGUAAAUGUCAUUUAUUAUCAUAAUGACGAUCAAGAUAUAACCGAUAACCAAGUUAGAUGAUGCCACCGACAUGUUCCCAAUGUUAAAAGUUAAAAGUACUGACUACUUUACUAACUGGAAUCACACGGUUUAAAGCUAAAGAAAGAAAGAGAAACCUAAAGCGUUGUCAAAGUCAAGCCUUUUUUGCCAAAAAUGUAUAGCAAUGGUGGAAAUCUUAUCGGCAAAAGUAAACAACUUUGUCCAAUAAAGUCUAAACAAGAAAAACGUUUUGUUACCCGUUAGCAAAAUAUUAUCUUUAAAAUGGAGAAAAGACUAUCAUAAUCAUUUUUUGGCGGGAUAUGAGUGAUUUAUUAAUACAAUGAAUAUUAUCGAUAACGGGUUGGCCAGUUGACAUGAAAUGCUCUGAAUUAAACUGAAAGUUUAGCUGAAAGUUCAUUGGCGUACACAAGACCAUUGCAGGAAGCCUUUUUGACCGGACAAGUGUGACUUUGUUAGCAUGAAAGUUUCUCCUUGUAUGGCUCUUGACUAGCUUAGGCAAUGAAACAAAAAAUUUAAUGUUGAUCAAGAUGAAGUUGAAAAUUUAAUUUGAUUAGUCUCUCUUUAUGGAGUUUUUUACUCUUUAUGGUUUGAUAUAGCUUGACCAUAUGAUGAACUAAAUGGUGAUCAUUAUGGGAUAAAGGUGAUGAAGAUGCUCAAAUAACAGUACAAGAACGGUAGCAUUGUCAGUAUGUUGUUUACCAUACUGACCACGGAUACACACUGGUCAAGACUCGGCAGGAGGUAAAGAUCACCCAACAUUGAUUAUCCAUAUUGGGUAACUUUGUAGUCACUCAAGUUCCAAUUAUUGGUCUUGUAAAGUUUUACCCUAAAGGCAAAAGUCAACUUUGACCAAUAUUUCAAAAUGAAAUUACCAAAACUUCAAACAUCCCAUUGAUUAGUUGGAAAUAAAUCUCCGUAAAGGUGUCGAAGCUGUUGCUGGCCUUCAUAUUACAUGAUACGUUUUCACGCCAAUGAAUCAACCUUUAAAAUCAAUCAACUUCAUUACACUGUUUGGUGUCUAAAAGUGGAAUAUUAUCUAACAUUACUGGACAUUAUCAUUGACCAUUAAGUUUCUCCCAUCGAGUUAUGUAGACCAUUUCACUUCAAUCAAAGCUGAAUCAAUUUUGACGGUAAACAAAUGGAGAAAAGGCCCUUUUCGUUGCAUUUUUGUUUGAACCUUAUGCUAACCAAACCCUAAGAUCAUAAUCAUUAUGAAUGAUUUUAAUGAUGAACUUGACGAUGAGCAAGCCUGUUGAAAGGAUU